CUGCACUGAUUGAUUUGGUCGCCAACGAGUGGCGGACGGGUGAGUAACACGUAGGUAACCUGCCCAGAAGCGGGGGACAACAUUUGGAAACAGAUGCUAAUACCGCAUAACAACGUUGUUCGCAUGAACAACGCUUAAAAGAUGGCUUCUCGCUAUCACUUCUGGAUGGACUGCGGUGCAUUAGCUUGUUGGUGGGGUAAUGGCCUACCAAGGGCCGAUGAUGCAUAGCCGAGUUGAGAGACUGAUCGGCCACAAUGGGACUGAGACACGGCCCAUACUCCUACGGGAGGCAGCAGUAGGGAAUCUUCCACAAUGGGCGCAAGCCUGAUGGAGCAACACCGCGUGAGUGAAGAAGGGUUUCGGCUCGUAAAGCUCUGUUGUUAAAGAAGAACACGUAUGAGAGUAACUGUUCAUACGUUGACGGUAUUUAACCAGAAAGUCACGGCUAACUACGUGCCAGCAGCCGCGGUAAUACGUAGGUGGCAAGCGUUAUCCGGAUUUAUUGGGCGUAAAGAGAGUGCAGGCGGUUUUCUAAGUCUGAUGUGAAAGCCUUCGGCUUAACCGGAGAAGUGCAUCGGAAACUGGAUAACUUGAGUGCAGAAGAGGGUAGUGGAACUCCAUGUGUAGCGGUGGAAUGCGUAGAUAUAUGGAAGAACACCAGUGGCGAAGGCGGCUACCUGGUCUGCAACUGACGCUGAGACUCGAAAGCAUGGGUAGCGAACAGGAUUAGAUACCCUGGUAGUCCAUGCCGUAAACGAUGAGUGCUAGGUGUUGGAGGGUUUCCGCCCUUCAGUGCCGGAGCUAACGCAUUAAGCACUCCGCCUGGGGAGUACGACCGCAAGGUUGAAACUCAAAGGAAUUGACGGGGGCCCGCACAAGCGGUGGAGCAUGUGGUUUAAUUCGAAGCUACGCGAAGAACCUUACCAGGUCUUGACAUCUUGCGCCAACCCUAGAGAUAGGGCGUUUCCUUCGGGAACGCAAUGACAGGUGGUGCAUGGUCGUCGU
RNAcentral lists this ribosomal RNA (1005 nucleotides) under Limosilactobacillus fermentum. Its description in RNAcentral is "bacterial SSU rRNA". It matches the Rfam family "Bacterial small subunit ribosomal RNA", at positions 62 to 1055 of the family's 1533-position model. Lineage: Bacteria; Bacillati; Bacillota; Bacilli; Lactobacillales; Lactobacillaceae. The record is from RNAcentral.